Molecule: ribosomal RNA, 253 nt
Filed under: uncultured bacterium
Lineage: Bacteria
Description: partial 16S ribosomal RNA
Rfam family: Bacterial small subunit ribosomal RNA
Source: RNAcentral
GACGUAGGGCGCAAGCGUUGUUCGGAUUUAUUGGGCGUAAAGAGCUCGUAGGCGGCUUGUCGCGUCGACUGUGAAAAACCACGACUCAACCGUGGGACUGCAGUCGAUACGGGCAGGCUAGAGUUCGGUAGGGGAGACUGGAAUUCCUGGUGUAGCGGUGAAAUGCGCAGAUAUCAGGAGGAACACCGGUGGCGAAGGCGGCUUCCUGGACCGACACUGACGCUGAGGCGCGAAAGCUAGGGGAGCAAACGGG